CCUGUUCAAGGGCAAUCCAGGGCGAAAGCGCUGGUGCGCAAAGCCGCGGGGCCUGAAGUCCGGCCGGCCGUGGUUGCCGUG
This is a non-coding RNA of Myxococcus stipitatus DSM 14675, 81 nucleotides long. Lineage: Bacteria; Pseudomonadati; Myxococcota; Myxococcia; Myxococcales; Myxococcaceae. The record is from Rfam.